RNAcentral lists this ribosomal RNA (1138 nucleotides) under Ralstonia sp. HMC39. RNAcentral describes it as "bacterial SSU rRNA". It matches the Rfam family "Bacterial small subunit ribosomal RNA", at positions 55 to 1187 of the family's 1533-position model. The record is from RNAcentral. Lineage: Bacteria; Pseudomonadati; Pseudomonadota; Betaproteobacteria; Burkholderiales; Burkholderiaceae.
AUGCAAGUCGAACGGCAGCGGGGGAAAGCUUGCUUUCCUGCCGGCGAGUGGCGAACGGGUGAGUAAUACAUCGGAACGUGCCCUGUAGUGGGGGAUAACUAGUCGAAAGAUUAGCUAAUACCGCAUACGACCUGAGGGUGAAAGUGGGGGACCGCAAGGCCUCAUGCUAUAGGAGCGGCCGAUGUCUGAUUAGCUAGUUGGUGGGGUAAAGGCCUACCAAGGCGACGAUCAGUAGCUGGUCUGAGAGGACGAUCAGCCACACUGGGACUGAGACACGGCCCAGACUCCUACGGGAGGCAGCAGUGGGGAAUUUUGGACAAUGGGCGAAAGCCUGAUCCAGCAAUGCCGCGUGUGUGAAGAAGGCCUUCGGGUUGUAAAGCACUUUUGUCCGGAAAGAAAUGGCUCUGGUUAAUACCCGGAGUUGAUGACGGUACCGGAAGAAUAAGGACCGGCUAACUACGUGCCAGCAGCCGCGGUAAUACGUAGGGUCCAAGCGUUAAUCGGAAUUACUGGGCGUAAAGCGUGCGCAGGCGGUUGUGCAAGACCGAUGUGAAAUCCCCGGGCUUAACCUGGGAAUUGCAUUGGUGACUGCACGGCUAGAGUGUGUCAGAGGGAGGUAGAAUUCCACGUGUAGCAGUGAAAUGCGUAGAGAUGUGGAGGAAUACCGAUGGCGAAGGCAGCCUCCUGGGAUAACACUGACGCUCAUGCACGAAAGCGUGGGGAGCAAACAGGAUUAGAUACCCUGGUAGUCCACGCCCUAAACGAUGUCAACUAGUUGUUGGGGAUUCAUUUCCUUAGUAACGUAGCUAACGCGUGAAGUUGACCGCCUGGGGAGUACGGUCGCAAGAUUAAAACUCAAAGGAAUUGACGGGGACCCGCACAAGCGGUGGAUGAUGUGGAUUAAUUCGAUGCAACGCGAAAAACCUUACCUACCCUUGACAUGCCACUAACGAAGCAGAGAUGCAUUAGGUGCUCGAAAGAGAAAGUGGACACAGGUGCUGCAUGGCUGUCGUCAGCUCGUGUCGUGAGAUGUUGGGUUAAGUCCCGCAACGAGCGCAACCCUUGUCUCUAGUUGCUACGAAAGGGCACUCUAGAGAGACUGCCGGUGACAAACCGGAGGAAGGUGGGGAUGACGUCA